AUCCAUGGGAGCUUACCACGUGAAUGCAGACACUUUUGUGAGGGGCAGCCUGGACCAUCUUUUGGACUUAAAUGAAAAUAUACUGAUAUGAAGAUUCAGAUGCAUCUACUCCUCGGCUGGGUGGAACAGAGUGAUCCAGGGAGCUCAGCCCAUCAGACAUGAACUCAUCCAUACCUAUUAAUUAGAGUAGAAGCAAAGUGGUUCUUCAUAAAAGUUGAGGCUCAGAGAAGGGGAAGAACAAUCCCCUAGUCUUCUAUUGUAGAGCUGUGAAGAAGACCCCUGCCCUUGAAGUCUCAGUCCAGGGGAUACCUUACCAGGUAAUUUUCCUCCCUUGGCUGAACUUGUCUAACUAUAGUCAAAAUAACUGCCUUGAUCUUUCCGUACUUCGUGGCACUCACAUUGGCAGAAAGCUGAGACGUCAAGGUGGCCACUUUUUCCUGGGAUGAUUCCAGUUCCCUACGAAGCUUCCGGAUUUGCUGUAAAAGGAAGAGAAAUACAAACUACUGGCUGCAGAAGCUGUAUAAGAUUUGGAAGGAAAAUGAGGUGCAGUGAUGUUAACAAGCAGAGACAAAGGCUUUCCACCCUACCUCAGAUUGCAUCCUCUCCUCAGCCUGAAGAAGGGAGCACAGAAGGAGAGAAAGAGAGAGAAAGGAAGUAGUUACUAUGGAGGUGAAGAAGUCAGGUCCCAGUGGCAGGGUAGGAAAUGUGAAGAAGCAUGACUCAGAGGUGCAGAGAGGCUGAAACUCUUGUUUCCUGGCCCUGGCUCCUCACAGGACAUGGCUCAGAUCUAUACUAGGGUUUCAAUAAAAGAUUUCUUUGGAGCUCA
Pongo pygmaeus (Bornean orangutan) is the source of this 826-nucleotide long non-coding RNA. RefSeq lists it as uncharacterized. The transcript is spliced from 2 exons. The record is from RefSeq and is a predicted model, not a curated record. NCBI's taxonomy places the organism in Eukaryota, Metazoa, Chordata, Mammalia, Primates, Hominidae.